AAAAGUCUAAUCAAACGCAGAGAUAGCUCGUUCUCUCCGAAAUAGCUUUCGGGCUAGCCUCGAGCAACUAUGUACCGGGGGUAGAGAUACUGAAUCGGCCUGGGGGGUCUUACCACCUACCCUGCUGAACCAAACUCCGAAUACCGGUGCAACUAUCUCGGGAGUCAGUCCACGAGGGAUAAGCUUCGUGGUCAAGAGGGAAACAACCCAGAUCGUCCGUUAAGGUCCCGAAGUAGAUCUUAGUCACUAAGGAAGUAGAAUUGCGGUGACAGCCAGGAUGUUGGCUUAGAAGCAGCCAUCAUUUAAAAAGUGCGUAACAGCUUACUGGUCGAGCAAUUCUGCGCCGAUAAUGAACGGGAGUAAGUUCUACACCGAAACGGCGGAAUGUCAUUUUCUUCGGAAGAUGACUUUGGUAGGAGAGCGCUGUACGUCAGAUACAAGCCGUACUGUAAAGAACGGUGUCGGGGCGUACAGGUGAUUAUGCCGGAAUGAGUAACGAUAAAGCAGGUGAGAAUCCUGCUCGCCGAAAGUCUAAGGUUUCCUGGGGAUGGUAAUUCCGCCCAGGGUUAGCCGGUUCCUAAGACGAGGCCGAAGGGCGUAGUCGAUGGACAGCAGGUUAAUAUUCCUGCGCCACUGAUGUGGACCGAUGGAGGGACGGCACGUGAAGGGUGAGCGGUCGAUCAGAAAUGACCGUGGGCUGUUUCAAGGUGUGGGAUAGGAAAAUCCGCCCACAUAAGCCAAGAAAUGGAACCAACUCCAUAUACGUUGAGUAUGUCAUCGGAAGCGUGUCCAAGAAAAGCUUCUAAGGUUUGAAGCAUCAGUGUCCGUACUAAAACUGACACAGGUAGGCGAGACGAGUAGUCUAAGGCGCUCGGGAGAACACUGGUUAAGGAACUCUGCAAAAUGACCCCGUAAGUUCGCGAUAAGGGGUGCCCUCGGGGGUUAACGCUCUCGGGGGCCACAGUAAAUCGGCUUCAGCGACUGUUUAUCAAAAACACAGGACUCUGCUAACUCGUAAGAGGAUGUAUAGAGUCUGACGCCUGCCCGGUGCCGGUAGGUUAAGGAAGAAGGUUAGCCUCACGGCGAAGCUUGCGACCGAAGCCCCGGUAAACGGCGGCCGUAACUAUGACGGUCCUAAGGUAGCGAAGUUCCUUGUCGGGUAAGUUCCGACCUGCAUGAAAGGCGUAACGACUGAAGCACUGUCUCAACCAGUGACCCGGUGAAAUUGUAGUCGUGGUGAAGAUGCCACGUUCCCGCACUAUGACGGAAAGACCCCGUGAACCUUUACUGUAGGCUGAUAUUGGGCUGUGGUAUGUUUUGUGUAGGAUAGGUGGGAGGCGUUGAUCCCGGCGCGUCAGCGUUCGGGGGAGCCACCGGUGAAAUACCACCCUGAAUAUGCUUUAGUUCUAACCCUGAUUCCA
This 1421-nucleotide ribosomal RNA is filed under the name metagenome. Its description in RNAcentral is "bacterial LSU rRNA". It matches the Rfam family "Bacterial large subunit ribosomal RNA", at positions 823 to 2236 of the family's 2925-position model. The record is from RNAcentral.